This 263-nucleotide unclassified non-coding RNA is filed under the name plant metagenome. RNAcentral's name for it is "partial contains small subunit ribosomal RNA, internal transcribed spacer 1, and 5.8S ribosomal RNA". The record is from RNAcentral.
UUUCCGUCGGUGAACCUGCGGAAGGAUCAUUAUUGUAUAACCGAGGUGCGAGGGCUGUCGCUGACCCGUAAGGUCGUGCACGACCGCGUGCCCUCACACACAUCCACCUCACCCCUAUGGGCACCACCGCGUGGGUCCCCCUUGGGCGUGUUCGGCGGGGGGCUUACGUUUUCACACAAACUUUGUAUGCAGUGUAGAAUGUAUUUUUUGUGUUUGCGAACACGCAAUCAAUACAACUUUCAACAACGGAUCUCUUGGCUCUC